RNAcentral lists this ribosomal RNA (895 nucleotides) under Bifidobacterium breve. Its description in RNAcentral is "bacterial LSU rRNA". It matches the Rfam family "Bacterial large subunit ribosomal RNA", at positions 2051 to 2925 of the family's 2925-position model. The record is from RNAcentral. Lineage: Bacteria; Bacillati; Actinomycetota; Actinomycetes; Bifidobacteriales; Bifidobacteriaceae.
GAGUAAAGAUGCUCGUUAAGCGCAGAAGGACGAUAAGACCCCGGGACCUUUACUAUACCUUGGUAUUGGCAUUCGGUGUGGAUUGUGUAGCAUAGGCGGAAGGCUUCGAAGCCACGGCGCCAGCCGCGGUGGAGCCGCAAGGUGAAAUACCGCUCUGUUCGCAUUGGAUGUCUAACCUCGACCAGUCAUCCUGGUCAGGGACAGUGCCUGGCGGGUAGUUUAACUGGGGCGGUUGCCUCCCAAAGAGUAACGGAGGCGCUCAAAGGUUCCCUCAGCCCGGUUGGCAAUCGGGUGGCGAGUGUAAGUGCACAAGGGAGCUUGACUGCGAGACUGACGGGUCGAGCAGGGACGAAAGUCGGAACUAGUGAUCCGGUGCCGGUGUACGGACGCGGCAUCGCUCAACGGAUAAAAGGUACCCCGGGGAUAACAGGCUGAUCAUUCCCAAGAGUCCAUAUCGACGGGAUGGUUUGGCACCUCGAUGUCGGCUCGUCGCAUCCUGGGGCUGGAGCAGGUCCCAAGGGUUCGGCUGUUCGCCGAUUAAAGCGGCACGCGAGCUGGGUUCAGAACGUCGUGAGACAGUUUGGUCUCUAUCCUCUGCGCUCGUCGGAAUGUUGAGGAGGCCUGCCCAUAGUACGAGAGGACCUGGGUGGACGAACCUCUGGUAUGCCGGUUGUCACGCCAGUGGCACGGCCGGUUGGCUACGUUCGGAAGGGAUAACCGCUGAAAGCAUCUAAGCGGGAAGCCUGCUCCAAGAUAAGCAUUCCAUAGGACUACGGGUCCUUGAAGUCCCCAUGCAGAACACGUGGUUGAUAGGCCGGACGUGGAAGCCCCGCGAGGGGUGGAGCCGACCGGUACUAACGGACGAAAGGCAACACAAUCAUCCAACCCCGGUUGG